This 705-nucleotide ribosomal RNA is filed under the name Myriotrema olivaceum. RNAcentral's name for it is "SSU rRNA". It matches the Rfam family "Bacterial small subunit ribosomal RNA", at positions 380 to 1159 of the family's 1533-position model. The record is from RNAcentral. Lineage: Eukaryota; Fungi; Ascomycota; Lecanoromycetes; Ostropales; Graphidaceae.
GCUGGUAAAAUGUGAUGUACCUAGUAGUAUUAAUCAUUAAUAUGAGAUUAACUAAGUUAAUUAAAGUUCUAAGUGGAUAUAUGAUUAUGACAAUAUUUAUUUAUGUCUUGACCAAGUCACGUGCCAGCAGUCGCGGUAAUACGUGGAAGAUUAKUGUUAUUCAUUUUUAACAGGUUUAAAGGGUACCUAGACGGUUAAUUAAGCACUAAAAUGUACUAAUUAACUAGAGUUUAAUGUAAGAAAGAUUGAGUACGGUGAGUGUAGAGAUAAAAUUCUAUGAUACCACUUAGGAACUGGUAAAGGCGAAGGCAACUUUUUAUGUAAAAACUGACGUUAAGGGACGAAGGCUCGUAUCAAAUAACAGGAUUAGAUACCCUAGUAUUGUGGGCAGACAAUGAUGAGUGUCAUAUGCAAGAAAGGAAUAUUUUUUGUGUAUAAAUGAAAGUGUAAGCACUCCACCUCAAGAGUAACGUGGCAACAUGGGAACUGAAAUCAUUAGACCGUUUCUGAAACUCGUAGUGAAGUAUGUUGUUUAAUUUGACACCACACAAAUAACCUUACCACAACUUGUAUAACUACACUAUAUAAUAAUGUAGCUACAAGCGUUGCACGGCUGUCUUCAGUCAAUGUUGUGAAACUGUGGUUAGAUCCAUUAAAUUGACGUAAACCCUUACUUUAUUUUAAAUAAAGUAGUUCGCCGCUAUA